CCUACGGGAGGCAGCAGUGGGGAAUUUUGGACAAUGGGCGCAAGCCUGAUCCAGCAAUGCCGCGUGCAGGAUGAAGGCCUUCGGGUUGUAAACUGCUUUUGUACGGAACGAAACGGUUCGCUUUAAUACAGUGGGCUAAUGACGGUACCGUAAGAAUAAGCACCGGCUAACUACGUGCCAGCAGCCGCGGUAAUACGUAGGGUGCGAGCGUUAAUCGGAAUUACUGGGCGUAAAGCGUGCGCAGGCGGUUUUGUAAGACAGAUGUGAAAUCCCCGGGCUCAACCUGGGACCUGCAUUUGUGACUGCAAGGCUAGAGUACGGUAGAGGGGGAUGGAAUUCCGCGUGUAGCAGUGAAAUGCGUAGAUAUGCGGAGGAACACCGAUGGCGAAGGCAAUCCCCUGGACCUGUACUGACGCUCAUGCACGAAAGCGUGGGGAGCAAACAGGAUUAGAUACCCUGGUAGUCCACGCCCUAAACGAUGUCAACUGGUUGUUGGGUCUUCACUGACUCAGUAACGAAGCUAACGCGUGAAGUUGACCGCCUGGGGAGUCGGCGCAAGGUUGAAACUCAAAGGAAUUGACGGCNGAGAGNGCGAGGACGACGACGAGGGAGGAGG
This 616-nucleotide ribosomal RNA is filed under the name uncultured bacterium. RNAcentral describes it as "bacterial SSU rRNA". It matches the Rfam family "Bacterial small subunit ribosomal RNA", at positions 338 to 951 of the family's 1533-position model. The record is from RNAcentral.